CCGACCUUAGCUCAGUUGGAAGAGCGUGAGACUGUAACGGAUACCUUCUUCGGAAUAUCUCAAUGUCGCCUGUUCGAGCCAGGCAGGUCGGA
Molecule: non-coding RNA, 92 nt
Organism: Panaeolus papilionaceus
Lineage: Eukaryota; Fungi; Basidiomycota; Agaricomycetes; Agaricales
Source: the annotation of a GenBank genome assembly